Long non-coding RNA from Macaca fascicularis (crab-eating macaque), 1562 nucleotides. The record is from Ensembl. NCBI's taxonomy places the organism in Eukaryota, Metazoa, Chordata, Mammalia, Primates, Cercopithecidae.
GUCACAGAAAAAUGAAACUGUGACUGGUUUUCACAAUGUAUGUAGCUGAUCUCAUGCUCUCCUAUUAUGAUGUUUCUGACAGUGAUAAAAUAUCACUCUCCCUCCCUGGGGAAUCAGGGGAGUCCUCACCCACCCACCUCCUACGCAAGUAUCUUUUAGGGACACCGGCCCACCACUGUGGACUUUAUGCAUGUCCACCUGAUACUACAAGUUGCAUUGACCAGAACACAGAUUUUGUUCUUCUGUGUCAAUACCCGUUUCUUUUCUGAAGGUCAGAAGUUGGUUAAGGGUUUGGGGGACCGGCUAGACACUCUUCUUAUCCCAUGGAGCCGAUUGGAAGUUCCAUGAGGGGAGGAAAUUGAUGUCAAAGUGUCAUUUUAAAGCUUAAGCUGAAAGUUUAUUUUUAAAAUUUUCAUUCAUUCAUUUAGCAUAUAUUUAUUGAGCAUCUACAAUGUGCCAGGUUGUAGAAUUCCAUCUCAGAAGAGACUUGACUUAUGGAUGGUGGAGGGGACAGUCCUGCUCGGAAGCAGAUGAUGUGAAAUGUCCCUUUCCAGUCUGGUUCAUGACAUUUAACAGAUUUUUCAGGUCACCACUGUGACCCCAAGCCUUGCUGGCAGAUUGUUAUAUAGUAUUGACUGAGAGCCCCGCCCUCUGGUAAAGGCAGUUAAAAAGCCUGCAAUCUCGACUCAUUUCCAGCAUGAACAGACUGGUCCUUGCUGCUUUACACAAUAGUCAAAGCUACCUUUGAUGGCGCACUCGCCACUCCCAAGCCCUGGGCGAAGUGCUUUACCAUCUUCCCCUCCGCGAUGCCUCAUGCCCACUUUAGCAGAUAGUACUGUUAUCAUUCCCAUUUUACAGUGGAGGAAGCUGAGGCUCAGAGAGGUUGAGCAACUUAGCUGAAGGCCACACCACCAGCGAAGUACCUGAGCCAAGAUUUGGACUCGAGUCCAUGGGACCCCCAUGCUCAAGAGCUGACUGCUCUGCUCCACUGGUUCCCUGCAUGAGGUCACCCACAGCACUGCUAGUUCCAGGGCGAGUGCCAGCACAUGGCCCCGCUGGGAGCCGGGGGCCUGACUUAGGUCCACUGGAAAAAGUGUCACCUUUGGGGACACUCAAGGACAGGCUGGUUGGAUUUGUUGUGGAUUUUAUAUACUCAUGCCCUCCCCCUGUGUUCCUGGUUUCUAUAAGGUCCCAGGGAAGGUGCAUGGAAUUUGCAAAUAGGGCCUGUAUGACUUAUUUCCUAGGACACAGGAAGCUUUUCUUACCUCCUUCCUACCCUCUUCUCCAACCUGAACUCCCAAGUUCCUUCUCCCGAAGAUCUUUUGCACUAUAAGCGCCAAGGAAGCUGUGCGCGUGGCAGGGACGGCUGGGAGGGUAUCUGGAGAACCGUAGUGAGGCCUCUGGCCUAGCCAGAGCGGCAAUAAGCUUGGGGAUGUUCCGUUCCGGGUUCUGACGUUGUUGGUUCUGACGUCGUUGUGCUCUUUUGUAAGAGGAAUUUCAUACCUUGGAGACGCUUUGUACAUAUUUGUAAUGACUUUAUUAAAAAAUUGGUUGUGCACUUC